Molecule: long non-coding RNA, 501 nt
Organism: Sardina pilchardus (European sardine)
Lineage: Eukaryota; Metazoa; Chordata; Actinopteri; Clupeiformes; Clupeidae
Exons: 4
Source: RefSeq, a predicted model, not a curated record
GGGGAUGCUAACGGUGUUCGGAAGGACCAUUCAAAUCCAGACUAUUGCAGACAUCGUCUCCAUUAGGGCCAGAGAGAGGCCCUAAAAGCUGGACUGAACAGAGCAAAUCUGAAUGGGAGGUGUGUCAAGGAGGCCGACCUGGGGACCGGACAGCGCUGGACAGGCUCCUUUUUUCUGUGGGUGCUGGGCCGCAGAGCUGCUCAUUAAAAGGAGGAUACGUAAACAGCCGUGACCGGGGCGGGCUGUUGUGUCUGCUCAGCGCUGCUCAAGUGUGAAGAAUGGAGAGGGAGCGGCAGACGGGGCCGGGCGUGGGCCGGGACCGGGCCGUGACCGCGACGCUUGUCCAUCUGCUGGCCGUGCUGCGGCCCUCAGACCUGCCGCGACUCCAGUAAUGAUCCCCUGGGGCAGCAGGGCUUGUCUCAAGUGCAAUGAGGGGAGAAAUGGCAAUGUCAGAUUGAACUGAAACUAUGUCUCCAGGAAGCUUGAAGUGAAAGUUCCCAG